GUCUGAUUAGCUAGUUGGCGGGGUAACGGCCCACCAAGGCGACGAUCAGUAGCUGGUCUGAGAGGACGAUCAGCCACACCGGAACUGAGACACGGUCCGGACUCCUACGGGAGGCAGCAGUGGGGAAUACUGGACAAUGGGCGAAAGCCUGAUCCAGCGACGCCGCGUGGGUGAAGAAGGCCUUCGGGUUGUAAAGCCCUUUAAGCCGGGACGAAAAAGCUGCACCUAAUACGUCGCGGCCUUGACGGUACCGGAAGAAUAAGCACCGGCUAACUCUGUGCCAGCAGCCACGGUAAUACAGAGGGUGCAAGCGUUAAUCGGAUUUACUGGGCGUAAAGCGUGAGUAGGUGGCUCGCUAAGUCGGUUGUGAAAGCCCUGGGCUCAACCUGGGAAUUGCAGUCGAUACUGGCAAGCUAGAGUUCGGUAGAGGGUGGCGGAAUUCCCGGUGUAGCGGUGAAAUGCGUAGAUAUCGGGAGGAACAUCGAUGGCGAAGGCAACCACCUGG
RNAcentral lists this ribosomal RNA (505 nucleotides) under uncultured Gammaproteobacteria bacterium. RNAcentral's name for it is "bacterial SSU rRNA". It matches the Rfam family "Bacterial small subunit ribosomal RNA", at positions 235 to 732 of the family's 1533-position model. The record is from RNAcentral. Lineage: Bacteria; Pseudomonadati; Pseudomonadota; Gammaproteobacteria.